Molecule: ribosomal RNA, 493 nt
Filed under: uncultured bacterium
Lineage: Bacteria
Description: partial 16S ribosomal RNA
Rfam family: Bacterial small subunit ribosomal RNA
Source: RNAcentral
ACGAACGCUGGCGGCGUGCUUAACACAUGCAAGUCGAACGGUGAAGCGCCUUCCUUUUUGGUGGGUGUGGAUGAGUGGCGAACGGGUGAGUAACACGUGAGUAACCUGCCCCCUUCUUCUGGAUAACCGCAUGAAAGUGUGGCUAAUACGGGAUAUUCUGGGUCUGUCGCAUGAUGGGUCUGGGAAAGAUAUUGUUUCGGUGGGGGAUGGGCUCGCGGCCUAUCAGCUUGUUGGUGGGGUGAUGGCCUACCAAGGCGGUGACGGGUAGCCGGCCUGAGAGGGUGGACGGUCACACUGGGACUGAGACACGGCCCAGACUCCUACGGGAGGCAGCAGUGGGGAAUAUUGCACAAUGGGCGCAAGCCUGGUGCAGCGACGCCGCGUGAGGGAUGGAGGCCUUCGGGUUGUGAACCUCUUUCGCCAGUGAAGCAGGCCUGCCUCGUUUGUGGGUGGGUUGACGGUAGCUGGAUAAGAAGCGCCGGCUAACUACGUG